UGGCGGACGGGUGAGUAACACGUGAGCAACCUGCCUUUCAGAGGGGGAUAACGGCUGGAAACGGUCGCUAAUACCGCAUGAUGUGUUCGGAUGGCAUCAUCUGAACAUCAAAGAUUUAUCGCUGAAAGAUGGGCUCGCGUCUGAUUAGAUAGUUGGUGGGGUAACGGCCUACCAAGUCUACGAUCAGUAGCCGGACUGAGAGGUUGAACGGCCACAUUGGGACUGAGAUACGGCCCAGACUCCUACGGGAGGCAGCAGUGGGGAAUAUUGCACAAUGGGGGAAACCCUGAUGCAGCAACGCCGCGUGAAGGAUGACGGUUUUCGGAUUGU
RNAcentral lists this ribosomal RNA (330 nucleotides) under uncultured bacterium. RNAcentral describes it as "bacterial SSU rRNA". It matches the Rfam family "Bacterial small subunit ribosomal RNA", at positions 96 to 426 of the family's 1533-position model. The record is from RNAcentral.